This 2586-nucleotide long non-coding RNA is filed under the name Homo sapiens (human). Its description in RNAcentral is "HSALNT0007722". The record is from RNAcentral. Lineage: Eukaryota; Metazoa; Chordata; Mammalia; Primates; Hominidae.
GGCCCUUUGAACCGGGCGUGGGAUUGGCCGUCGCCUGCCCACCCCGCGGCUGCAGCGUUCCCUGGGGCCUAGCCAACCGCGGGCAGGGCUGGGCAAGGCGGGAGGAGCGCGGACCCAAGAUCGGCUACGCUGCGUCUGCUCAGGCUGCGAGUUCCCGGCUCUGGGGACUCACCUUGCGGAGCUUACCCAGGCGGACUCUCCGCAGCCCCUGAUGGGUGUGUGUGUCAGACCGUUUACUAAACACCAGGACUGUUGUAGGCGACUAAAAGAAAACUGAGAUCCAGGAAAGGGAAGUGAUUUUCCAAAGACACACCUGUGAAAGCAGCCGUGUUGAACCAUGAAAGGACCUCAGGAAUGAAACCCACACACAGCAAAGCAACAAAGUGAAAGAAGCGUGGAUUCCUAAUGCAGGAGGCACUGAACCAAUCAAUACCCACUGCCCUCCAGACCUCCACAUGAAAGAAAAAAACUGCUGUCCUGUGAAGAAGACACUCCCCAGAUGCCAGCAACUUGAUAUUGGACUUCCUGCCUUUAGAAACAUUCCUUUAAGCCUCUCUGAAACUUGACCCUCUGGCAGGAACAGGUGCCAUUACAUACAGACACUCUCUCUCUUCCAAAUUCACCCUGUCAUAUCAAAGGGAAAACUGAAGUGGUCCACUGUAGACCUGACAGAUGAUCACAAACAGGAAACCAGCAAUCAGAAGUGCCUACUGAGCUCCCUACCCUGACCAUCACCUACAGCUACAUUUUACAGAUACAAAAUCAUUGUUUGUUCAACUUUCAUAUCAAAGGAUGCUAUUAGUUCAUUUCCAAAGGUGGGAAAAUGUUUCAACUUACUUUAUUACUUGUCUGCUACUUACUAUUUUCCCUCCGUUUGCCUGCCUGACUUCUUUUAACUCUUCACUCAACAAAUAUCUACUGACUACUGAGCACUUGCCAAGUGCUAGGCCAGAGCUGGAUGCUGUACUACGGGCAGAUGAAGUGCUAUGGGCAUCCAGAGGUGGAAGAAGAGGGUAUAGCGAAAGGGGAGAAAAGGCUGCAACAAUAUUCACUGAGCCCUGUGCUCCCAGGUCAUCACAUAGACUAUGUCAUUAUUCCUCCUAACCACCCACAUGAGUAAAUAGGGGCUAUUACUGAAGAAACAGAGGCUUACAAAGGUUGAGCAACUUGCCCAAGGUCAUCUAUCACAAGACACUACAAGUCAGACUGCUGAAGAGGGAGUUUCUGCUGAGAAGCUGAAGUGGGCAGCUCAUAUUGGAUAUGAAGGCUUCAAAGGAAUCUAAAUCCUAAUGAUCCCUCUAGAGCCAACAUGCAGCACCAGUUUUCUCUUCCACAUUUGAACUGCUCAUCCACUUCCGGCUCCAAGACCUCACUCUCCAUCUAAACUAGUCCCACGCCAUCCAUAUCUUUCUCCACUAACGCCACCCAAUCACAACCCCACAGCCUCUUAGUCAUGAGUCAUUUUUUAAAAACUGCAAACCAUGUAAUGAGCCAUGGCAAUAUGCAACCCUAAACCUCAACACGUGUUUUCCACAACAAGGCCACAGGUGGCAGAAGCGAGCCUAAGGCCGUAGGACACUAAGGCAGGACUCUCUGGCUUGAGCUUUCCAAAAAGGGAGGUGAGAGAAGGUCUACCUGCGGGAAGUCAUGCUGAAGGCCUGAGGCUGAGUCAAAGAAGGAGCCCCCUGGAGGCUCUGCAGUUCCUGGACUUCAGGUAGAGGAACUCUGCCAUGAACACCUCUGGAAUCGUGUCAUUUUGGGACAAUUAGAGAAUAUCAGUUUUCAGACUGAGUUCUAUGGGAAGGUGCCUGCACAACAAAGGAGAGACGGAAUGGACUUCAGGUCUUCCAAAAUACCCCUCAUGUUCACCAAGUUGCUCUCUGCUCUAAGAUACCAGAUGAGGGGGCCAGUGGGGACUGAAACCCAGUCCCCAGUCUGCUGGCCAAUCCCUUUGCCUGUGAGGCUGCUCUGUCCUACCAGAGAGGGCACUUUUCAUAAUUUGCACCAAGUACAGAAUAGGAUAGUGUAGCUUUACCCUUCUCCCUACCAUCAACCACAGACACAUCAACACAUGCACACAUACAGCCACACAAAUAUACCUACAGGCAUACACAUACAACACAGGCACAUACAUGUUUGCACAAAGUCACAUGUAGACACAAACGCAGAGCACACAGACACAAACACAGGCACAAACCCAUACUUACACUACACACACACACAAACACACACAGACACACAAAUGCAAAUUAAGCCACAAUGUAGCACAUAGAGAUAUAGACACAGACGCAAAUACAGUCACAUAGAGAUAUAGACACACACUUAUACACACAUAUAUGUAAAUAUACAGUCUCAUUCACUUUAUACCACACAUGUAUAAACAUACACAAUUGUAUGUAGACACACAUACACAUAGGUACUCAGACCGCAUAGAUACAUAUGUACACACAUACAAAUAUAUGCACAUACACAGAUAUAUAUAUACACACAUGCAUCUUUAACCAGAACAACUUUACUUUUGUCAGUUUUAUAUGACAGAGUCUUUAAAAAAAGAUUUCAUCUGGCUUGUGUUCUACUAUUAAAAGA